Molecule: ribosomal RNA, 804 nt
Filed under: uncultured Alphaproteobacteria bacterium
Lineage: Bacteria; Pseudomonadati; Pseudomonadota; Alphaproteobacteria
Description: bacterial SSU rRNA
Rfam family: Bacterial small subunit ribosomal RNA
Source: RNAcentral
CAUGCAAGUCGAACGCAGUAGCAAUACUGAGUGGCAAACGGGUGAGUAUAAUGUGGGAAUCUGCCUUUUGGUUUGGAAUAACACGGGGAAACUUGUGCUAAUACCGAAUAAGCCCUUACGGGGAAAGUUUUAAUGCCAAAAGAUGAGCCCGCACUUGAUUAGCUAGUUGGUAAGGUAAAAGCUUACCAAGGCAACGAUCAAUAGCUGUUCUUAGAGGAAGACCAGCCACAUUGGGACUGAGACACGGCCCAGACUCCUACGGGAGGCAGCAGUGGGGAAUCUUGCACAAUGGGGGAAACCCUGAUGCAGCGAUGCCGCGUGAGUGAAGAAGGCCUUUGGGUUGUAAAACUCUUUCGUCGGGGAAGAAAAUGACUGUACCCGAAUAAGAAGGUCCGGCUAACUUCGUGCCAGCAGCCGCGGUAAUACGAAGGGACCUAGCGUAGUUCGGAAUUACUGGGCUUAAAGAGCUCGUAGGUGGUUAAAAAAGUUGAUGGUGAAAUCCCAAGGCUCAACCUUGGAACUGCCAUCAAAACUUUUUAGCUAGAGUGUGAUAGAGGUAAGUGGAAUUUCUAGUGUAGAGGUGAAAUUCGUAGAUAUUAGAAAGAACACCAAAUGCGAAGGCAACUUACUGGGUCACUACUGACACUGAGGAGCGAAAGCAUGGGUAGCGAAGAGGAUUAGAUACCCUCGUAGUCCAUGCCGUAAACGAUGUGUGCUAGACGUUGGAAAUAUAUUUUUCAGUGUCGCAGCGAAAGCAUUAAGCACACCGCCUGGGGAGUACGACCGCAAGGUUAAAACUCAAAU